GGUUUGGGAGGAGAGGCGCGCACAUCAUUGGCACUAGUUUUCAAUAUCGUAAGUGUAGAUUACAUCUUAGUUAGGGUUCAAUUCUCAAUCUUCAUUUCCCAUUCCCUGGCCUUUGCAGUUCCUAGUUCCUACUACUGUGACCUUAAUUCUCGGGUUUCUUCUGAGUGAGCAGAAGGAUUUCAGCAUUGGAGACCAAAUCGUUGCAGGAUAAUCCCAGAGAGUGUGAUCUAUAGUUAUGGAACUGUUCUUCUGGAUCUUCUAAGUGGCAAGCAUAUUCCUCCAAGC
Molecule: long non-coding RNA, 285 nt
Organism: Glycine soja
Lineage: Eukaryota; Viridiplantae; Streptophyta; Magnoliopsida; Fabales; Fabaceae
Exons: 3
Source: RefSeq, a predicted model, not a curated record